UACGUAGGGGGCAAGCGUUAUCCGGAUUUACUGGGUGUAAAGGGAGCGUAGACGGCAGAGCAAGUCCGGAGUGAAAGCCCGGGGCCCAACCCCGGGACUGCUCUGGAAACUGUUAAGCUGGAGUGCGGGAGGGGCAGGCGGAAUUCCUGGUGUAGCGGUGAAAUGCGUAGAUAUCAGGAGGAACACCGGCGGCGAAGGCGGCCUGCUGGACCGUGACUGACGUUGAGGCUCGAAAGCGUGGGGUGCAAACAGG
This 253-nucleotide ribosomal RNA is filed under the name uncultured bacterium. RNAcentral's name for it is "partial 16S ribosomal RNA". It matches the Rfam family "Bacterial small subunit ribosomal RNA", at positions 524 to 776 of the family's 1533-position model. The record is from RNAcentral.